This 670-nucleotide ribosomal RNA is filed under the name Delftia sp. MJAU D0066. RNAcentral's name for it is "bacterial SSU rRNA". It matches the Rfam family "Bacterial small subunit ribosomal RNA", at positions 56 to 725 of the family's 1533-position model. RNAcentral also lists the same sequence under 1 other name. Lineage: Bacteria; Pseudomonadati; Pseudomonadota; Betaproteobacteria; Burkholderiales; Comamonadaceae. The record is from RNAcentral.
UGCAGUCGACGGUAACAGGUCUUCGGACGCUGACGAGUGGCGAACGGGUGAGUAAUACAUCGGAACGUGCCCAGUCGUGGGGGAUAACUACUCGAAAGAGUAGCUAAUACCGCAUACGAUCUGAGGAUGAAAGCGGGGGACCUUCGGGCCUCGCGCGAUUGGAGCGGCCGAUGGCAGAUUAGGUAGUUGGUGGGAUAAAAGCUUACCAAGCCGACGAUCUGUAGCUGGUCUGAGAGGACGACCAGCCACACUGGGACUGAGACACGGCCCAGACUCCUACGGGAGGCAGCAGUGGGGAAUUUUGGACAAUGGGCGAAAGCCUGAUCCAGCAAUGCCGCGUGCAGGAUGAAGGCCUUCGGGUUGUAAACUGCUUUUGUACGGAACGAAAAAGCUUCUCCUAAUACGAGAGGCCCAUGACGGUACCGUAAGAAUAAGCACCGGCUAACUACGUGCCAGCAGCCGCGGUAAUACGUAGGGUGCAAGCGUUAAUCGGAAUUACUGGGCGUAAAGCGUGCGCAGGCGGUUAUGUAAGACAGAUGUGAAAUCCCCGGGCUCAACCUGGGAACUGCAUUUGUGACUGCAUGGCUAGAGUACGGUAGAGGGGGAUGGAAUUCCGCGUGUAGCAGUGAAAUGCGUAGAUAUGCGGAGGAACACCGAUGGCGAAGGCAAU